RNAcentral lists this ribosomal RNA (253 nucleotides) under uncultured bacterium. Its description in RNAcentral is "partial 16S ribosomal RNA". It matches the Rfam family "Bacterial small subunit ribosomal RNA", at positions 524 to 776 of the family's 1533-position model. The record is from RNAcentral.
GACGGAGGGCGCAAGCGUUGUUCGGAAUUACUGGGCGUAAAGAGCGCGCAGGCGGUCGUUCAAGUCGAGUGUGAAAGCCCCCGGCUCAACUGGGGAGGGUCACUCGAUACUGAUCGACUUGAAGGCAGGAGAGGGAAGCGGAAUUCCCGGUGUAGUGGUGAAAUGCGUAGAUAUCGGGAGGAACACCAGUGGCGAAGGCGGCUUCCUGGCCUGUUCUUGACGCUGAGGCGCGAAAGCGUGGGGAGCGAACAGG